Long non-coding RNA from Sebastes umbrosus (honeycomb rockfish), 1382 nucleotides. RefSeq lists it as uncharacterized. Lineage: Eukaryota; Metazoa; Chordata; Actinopteri; Perciformes; Sebastidae. The transcript has 2 exons. The record is from RefSeq and is a predicted model, not a curated record.
UACAAAAAAAAACCUGAACCAUUUCUGUUUACCAAAUUUACCACUCUAUCCGAUGCAGACUACAUUUCUUUAUUUUGGUGCUAUUCGCCUCUUUAACUUACACACACUGGCUUUACCACUUUUAAUGUUAUCUUACAUUUGGCUAAUAGUGCACUCUCUGCAGCUUUAUUAUUUUGGGAAAAUACAAUUAUCAGUAUUCAUAAUUAUUAUUAUUAUUAUUAGUGCCUCUGGGUCUCUAUACUUUGUGGCACAUGGUAUUUUUUUUUUUACAUAAAAGAGGAAAAAGGGUGAAUUGUGCAGCCCCAAGCAUAGAAGUUUACAGCUUUUACCUUGAUCUCACAAAGCAAGGGAACUGAUAUUUAUACGGUCAGUGUUGUGGUGUCCAGUCUGAGUCAUGUACUGUAUUUCAGUUUUGUUUUCAAUAAAAGUUUCUUUUGAAAUUUGAGCCUCAAUUGAUAGUUUAUUUUUCAGCAUAUUUGAAAUAAAAAUAAAAAAAAACAAAAAGUAAAAAGAAUACUACACAUAUACUUACAAGAUUCCCGCCAUCGUUCCUAUAGAAAAAUGCCAAACAAGAAUAACAUGUAUACAGCUGUCCACUUCACCACAACACAAAAAAAACACUCAAAUGUAAUCUGUGAACAAACCAAUUUAAAAACCGGACCAUUCAUUGUAUUUUCUGACUUUUAACGUCUCACAUUAAAAGCCUUGUUGGGGGUCGAGAGGCAUCGCCAUGGCAACACCCGUCAUCUGGUCCUGCAUGAUCCGUGACUGGUCAGCAGCUACGACUGAAUAACAACAUCAAUGAAAUCAAACGGACCAACUUUCAUGUCUGAACUGACUCGGUGUGAUGUAAAACAGCACUUGAAGGUUUUGUCAGACUCUUAGCAACGUCUUCAUUUACAUUUUUACAAAAAGCAGCGAUUACAAAUAAAAUGUUUCCAACAAAUGGGAGACAAUCUCAGUUAACUUACACAUGUACUUACCUGCUUGGGCCAGGAUUCCUGCCAUCUCUCCACUAGAAAGAAAACGCUAAACAAGGUGAUUUUAGUGAUUAUUUACCGUUUUCAAAGAUAAGAACCAAAGCUAAGUAUGAUUCAAACAGUUUAUUCACAUCUGUAAUAUAUCUGCCAAUCAAACGAAGCACAGAGCAGUCAAGAAAAAGACACAACUCCUAACCACUUUUAAGGAACGUAAAAGGAGCUUUUCUAAAAAACAAUGUACAACAUGUCAGCCAUUUUACUGUAAUGUUUUUUCCUCUAAAUUGUACUAUACAUUCACUUUCAAUGAAGCCUUUGCACUGAGGUAAUGAGCAAAGAAAAACACUGGCAAGACAAGACGUUUAGAAACGGGGGGUUAACUGGGAAUAGAUUAAGGGGAGAGUG